This 76-nucleotide transfer RNA is filed under the name Thermoanaerobacterales bacterium. RNAcentral's name for it is "tRNA-Lys". It matches the Rfam family "tRNA". Rfam says of the family: Transfer RNA (tRNA) molecules are approximately 80 nucleotides in length. Their secondary structure includes four short double-helical elements and three loops (D, anti-codon, and T loops). The record is from RNAcentral. Lineage: Bacteria; Bacillati; Bacillota; Clostridia; Thermoanaerobacterales.
GAGCCAUUAGCUCAGGCGGUAGAGCACCUGACUUUUAAUCAGGGUGUCGGAGGUUCGAGUCCUCUAUGGCUCACCA